UUGAAACCUGUUUCUCCCAUAUCUGCAUUUCACCAUGAACCUUGGGUUUGAAUAUUUUAAGUCACUUCUAUUUUAAUGUAAAUAUUUGACUUACUGGAAAGAAUACCUGGAAUGCCUUUCCUCUCUUUCUGGCAAAGUGACAUUCUCAGUAAUGAAAUGUUUGUUCCUUUUGAAAAACCUGUGAUGUACUUUUUUUUUUUUUUUUUUCUUCUAAGAACAAAAUAAUUCAAUUUUAAGAUGAUAACUUAGUGCUGGUUUUAUAUGUUCUUUUCCCUGAUGUUAAAUUCUGUUUGUCUCUGCUCUUCAGAGAGGAAGGAAGGAGAAAACUGACUGAAGCGGUUCUUAAACAGGUUUGCAAUGCUCAGGCUCUAUGGGUUAUCUAUUCAACACAUGUCAACACAUGGCUGCUUGGGAAAGUGCUACUGAUAGCUGAAGGCAGUGUUUUACAUGGAGAAACUGAGGCAUAGAAAUGCUGCAGAUGUUAGAUGAAAUCAGGGAGAGAUCCAGGACCUGAAGUAGAAGGGCAGUCUAGGUCUUUCAGCACAUGCCAGGAAAGCAAAGGAAGUGUGGUCCAACAAAAGGAAAAGAAAAAAUGCUUUCUACCAGAGAUGGAGCAUUUGUCAUACUGGCUUUUUUAUAUGCUGGAAACCUGAGAAGCAGCAGCACUGGUGGUCGAUCCCUCCUCUGACUUUCCUUAUGAGGCAGUCUGAAGAUGAUCAGUCAAGAAGCUGAACCAACAUUUCUAACCUACAUUGCAAAACUCAUCAGUGUGCAGGAGGCUAUCCUUUCAUGAUAACACUCUCACUGCCAUCUUUUGAACUUUGGGGUUUUUUUUACUUCAUAUGGAAUGAAUAAAGUUCCUUGUCUUCAGAAAAGAGAGCCCACAUGCCUCCUGCAGAUGCAGUGUGCAGGCUUCUGCAUUGCUCUAGCUCUGAUUCUCCAUUUUAUCCAAUGAAAUUUUAAAUAAGCUUUAGCAAAAGAGUUUGAGAGAACUUCACACGAGCAUAUCUCACUGGCUGGGAUGCACUCCUGGGAUAUGAGUGUUGGGAGGAGGACAUUUGAACUUGAGCUCUCUGUAGAUCAACCCCCAGAAUACCAUUGGGUGAAGUUAUUUGCAAAUAAGGAUUUGUUUAGAUUUUUCCUAGAAAAGAGAGACUCCUAAAAUCCUUUGAAGAAACACUCAGAAGAGCCUGUGCCCUUAGAGCCAACUCUCCCCAGUGCUCAGGCAUGAAGCCACACGCAGGCAAGGUCCCUCUCCUCUGCAAGAAGCAGCAUUUGUUCCUUCCACCAUCCCUCUCUUGCCUGUUCCUUUGUCACCUCUUUUUGGCCUAAUAUAGUCAAAACCCUGUAUCUUACAAAUGCUUGUCUUACAAGGCAUUCCAUAUAAAGGUCUAUUCGAGUCUAAUAGCCUUGCUUUAUCCCCUCUAGCAUAUAUAUUUCCUAAUUGUUUGGAUAAGCAACAGUCUUCAAACUCUAUGUAGCUCCUAAUCUACUCAUAGUUUGGUCUAUAGCUUGGGCUCCUAGGUGCUGUUAAAGAUACAUAUCUAGAAAAUUUAUUCUGCUCAUGUCUCUGGUAUCAUUACAUCAUUAUAUUCAGUUCUUUUCCUGGGGAGAGCUGCAAUAGACCGGUGCUACGUUAAAUCAGCCUCUGAUAGAAGGAGCUGUUCCCAUUUUUCCUUGAGCUGCACAGCAUUUUUCCUUUACAAUAUUGAUUUAAUAAUUUAUAAAUGUUUGA
Molecule: long non-coding RNA, 1735 nt
Organism: Aquila chrysaetos chrysaetos
Lineage: Eukaryota; Metazoa; Chordata; Aves; Accipitriformes; Accipitridae
Exons: 5
Source: RefSeq, a predicted model, not a curated record